AGGAGGAAUAACCGCAGUGGCCCGGCCAGCUCUGCAGCCCUGGAGUCAGCCCCCGCAGUAGCUCUGAAGCUCUCCGUCUGCAGGGCCUGGAGGCUCAGGGCGGGG
This 105-nucleotide microRNA precursor is filed under the name Canis lupus familiaris (dog). RNAcentral's name for it is "mir-8834 microRNA precursor family". It matches the Rfam family "mir-8834 microRNA precursor family". Lineage: Eukaryota; Metazoa; Chordata; Mammalia; Carnivora; Canidae. The record is from Rfam by way of RNAcentral.